UGUAUCCAUCACAACCUCACUGGGAGCCGAGGGCAUGAAGAAGGCUAAAUGAAGGACGCCAAGCUCAGCAGCCGAUAAAACAUUUGCUAGGUCACUUUGAUCAUCUUAAGAGUUGUUGGUGGGGGCGGGGUGUGCACCCUGAAAAGAAGGAAGCCGGAGUACCCAGAGAGAAUCCAUGCAGUCACUGGGAGACCAUGCACACCCCACAGCCAGCCUUUGCU
This is a long non-coding RNA of Xiphophorus couchianus (Monterrey platyfish), 221 nucleotides long. RefSeq lists it as uncharacterized. The transcript has 3 exons. The record is from RefSeq and is a predicted model, not a curated record. NCBI's taxonomy places the organism in Eukaryota, Metazoa, Chordata, Actinopteri, Cyprinodontiformes, Poeciliidae.